AGAGUUUGAUCCUGGCUCAGAUUGAACGCUGGCGGCGUGCUUAACACAUGCAAGUUGAACGAGAAAGGGACUUCGGUCCUGAGUAGAGUGGCGCACGGGUGAGUAACGCGUAGGUAAUCUACCUCUGCAUCUGGGAUAACACUUCGAAAGGGGUGCUAAUACCGGAUACACUUAUGGACCGCAAGGUCUAUAAGGAAAGGAGACCUCUCCUUGGAAGUUUCUGUGUAGAGAUGAGCCUGCGUCCCAUUAGCUAGUUGGCAGGGUAAAGGCCUACCAAGGCGACGAUGGGUAGCGGGUCUGAGAGGAUGAUCCGCCACACUGGAACUGAAACACGGACCAGACUCCUACGGGAGGCAGCAGUGAGGAAUAUUGGACAAUGGGCGCAAGCCUGAUCCAGCGACGCCGCGUGAGUGAUGAAGGCCUUUGGGUCGUAAAGCUCUGUCAGCAGGGAAGAACGGCCGCGCGGUUAAUACCCGUGCGGAUUGACGGUACCUGCAGAGGAAGCACCGGCUAACUCCGUGCCAGCAGCCGCGGUAAUACGGAGGGUGCGAGCGUUAAUCGGAAUUACUGGGCGUAAAGGGCGCGUAGGCGGCUGAUCAAGUCAGGUGUGAAAGCCCACGGCUUAACCGUGUGAAGUGCAUCUGAACUGGUCGGCUUGAGUAUCGGAGAGGAAAGUGGAAUUCCCGGUGUAGAGGUGAAAUUCGUAGAUAUCGGGAGGAAUACCGGUGGCGAAGGCGACUUUCUGGACGAAUACUGACGCUGAGGCGCGAAAGCGUGGGGAGCAAACAGGAUUAGAUACCCUGGUAG
RNAcentral lists this ribosomal RNA (807 nucleotides) under uncultured bacterium. Its description in RNAcentral is "bacterial SSU rRNA". It matches the Rfam family "Bacterial small subunit ribosomal RNA", at positions 8 to 793 of the family's 1533-position model. The record is from RNAcentral.